RNAcentral lists this transfer RNA (72 nucleotides) under Flavobacteriales endosymbiont of Rhyzopertha dominica. Its description in RNAcentral is "tRNA-Ala". It matches the Rfam family "tRNA". From Rfam's summary of the family: Transfer RNA (tRNA) molecules are approximately 80 nucleotides in length. Their secondary structure includes four short double-helical elements and three loops (D, anti-codon, and T loops). RNAcentral also lists the same sequence under 1 other name. The record is from RNAcentral. Lineage: Bacteria; Pseudomonadati; Bacteroidota; Flavobacteriia; Flavobacteriales.
GGGGAAUUAGCUUAAAGGAAGAGCACCUGUUUUGCAUACAGGAGGUUAUCGGUUCAAGUCCGUUAUUCUCCA